GAACGCUGGCGGCGUGCUUAAUACAUGCAAGUCGAACGUGAAGCCUUGGCUUGCCAAGGUGGAAAGUGGCGAACGGGUGAGUAACACGUAAGUAAUCUACCUCUAAGUUUGGGAUAACCUUGCUAACGCGGGGCUAAUACCAAAUGUGGCCAUGGAAAUGCAUGUUUUUAUGGUUAAAGGUGCAAAUCGCUUAGAGAUGAGCUUGCGGCCCAUUAUGCUUGUUGGUAAGGUAACGGCUUACCAAGGCUGCGAUGGGUAGCCGGCCUGAGAGGGUGAACGGCCACAUUGGGACUGAGAUACGGCCCAGACUCCUACGGGAGGCAGCUUAGGGAAUUUUGCGCAAUGGGCGAAAGCCUGACGCAGCAACGCCGCGUGAAGGAUGAAGGUUCUCGGAUUGUAAACUUCUGUUAAGUGGGAAGAAAAGCCUUCGGGUAUGACGGUACCACUUGAGUAAGCACCGGCUAACUACGUGCCAGCAGCCGCGGUAAUACGUAGGGUGCAAGCGUUGUUCGGAAUUACUGGGCGUAAAGGGAGUGUAGGCGGAAUUAUAAGUUAGAAGUUUAAUUUACGGGCUCAACCCGUGAACUGCUUUUAAUACUGUAGUUCUAGAGUAUGGGGGAGGGUGAUGGAAUUCCAGGUGUAGCGGUGGAAUGCGUAAAUAUCUGGAAGAACACCAGUUGCGAAGGCGGUCGCCUGGCCCAAUACUGACGCUGAGGCUCGAAAGCUAGGGGAGCGAACAGGAUUAGAUACCCUGGUAGUCCUAGCCGUAAACGAUGGACACUAGUUGCUGGAGGAGUCAAUCUUUUCAGUGACGAAGCUAACGCAUUAAGUGUCCCGCCUGGGAAGUACGCCCGCAAGGGUGAAACUCAAAGGAAUUGACGGGGGCCCGCACAAGCGGUGGAGUAUGUGCUUUAAUUCGAUACAACGCGAAGAACCUUACCUGGGUUUGACAUGGGGGUGCAAGUUUCCAGAGAUGGAUUCCCUUCCGCAAGGAACGCCCCACACAGGUGCUGCAUGGUUGUCGUCAGCUCGUGUCGUGAGAUGUUGGGUUAAGUCCCGCAACGAGCGCAACCCUCGCCCUUAGUUGCCAUCAGGUCAUGCUGGGAACUCUAAGGGGACCGCCUAGUUUAACUAGGAGGAAGGUGGGGAUGACGUCAAAUCAUCAUGGCCCUUACGCCCAGGGCUAGACACGUACUACAAUGGUCGGUACAGCGGGAUGCAAGACGGUGACGUUUAGCUAAUCCCUUAAAACCGAUCUCAGUCCGGAUUGAAGUCUGCAAUUCGACUUCAUGAAGUUGGAAUCGCUAGUAAUCGCGGAUCAGCAUGCCGCGGUGAAUACGUUCCCGGGCCUUGUACACACCGCCCGUCAAGCCAUGAAAGAUGGCAGUGCCCGAAGUCGCUUCUCUAGCCGCAAGGAAGGGUGCGCCUAAGGUAAGGCUGUUGAUUGGGGCUAAGUCGGAACAAGGUA
RNAcentral lists this ribosomal RNA (1468 nucleotides) under metagenome. RNAcentral describes it as "bacterial SSU rRNA". It matches the Rfam family "Bacterial small subunit ribosomal RNA". The record is from RNAcentral.